Ornithorhynchus anatinus (platypus) is the source of this 133-nucleotide small nucleolar RNA. Lineage: Eukaryota; Metazoa; Chordata; Mammalia; Monotremata; Ornithorhynchidae. The record is from RefSeq and is a predicted model, not a curated record.
CCCCUCUCAGGGUAGCACCUGGAGGGUUUCAAGUACUCUACCAGUCUUGACUAUAGGAGGGAGAAUCAAGCGGAGACAUUUCCAUUCCUAGCUUGGCCACUGGCUAGUGAGUGGAAGACAAUCCGCUACAAGU